UACGGAGGGAGCUAGCGUUGUUCGGAAUUACUGGGCGUAAAGCGCACGUAGGCGGCUUUGUAAGUUAGAGGUGAAAGCCUGGAGUUCAACUCCAGAACUGCCUUUAAGACUGCAUCGCUUGAAUCCAGGAGAGGUGAGUGGAAUUCCGAGUGUAGAGGUGAAAUUCGUAGAUAUUCGGAAGAAACACCAGUGGCGAAGGCGGCUCACUGGACUGGUAUUGACGCUGAGG
This 229-nucleotide ribosomal RNA is filed under the name uncultured bacterium. RNAcentral's name for it is "partial 16S ribosomal RNA". It matches the Rfam family "Bacterial small subunit ribosomal RNA", at positions 524 to 751 of the family's 1533-position model. The record is from RNAcentral.